UCUGUGUGUAAUGAAUGAAUAUAAUAUACAAGUUUCACUUUUUGAAUGAUAGUUCACUGUUAUAUUGACAAAAUGACAAAGCAUUUUGACUAUCAUGUUUGAGAGCAGUUAUUGUCAUACAAAAUAACAAAAAGUGUUUAAAAGAAUCAUGAAUUAAGCUGGCACGUUUAAAUGUUUGUUAACAUAUUUAUUUGUUCUUACUUUGAUUUUAUAGCCCUAGCCCUAGCCCUAGCCCUAGCUGAGAUCUGCUUCUGCUGCUCAUACUGUGAUCAGCCGCCCUUCCCCCACAGCACUCUCUGAUCGCGCGCGCGCCCUUCCCCCACAGCACUGUCUCUGACUGACUCACUGCAGAUGAGAUGCUUGCAUAUCAGCCCUGCUGUGGGUUUGCAGACUUCAAUUGACUGUUUUGAUUAAUAAAUGCUAUUACAGUUUUUUUUCAAUCGCUUACAAGCGCUUACCCAUACUUUAGAUACUUUUUCUAAACUCUUAACACAGACUCACACCUACAAAACACAACAAUUGGCCAAAUGGAUAAUUUUCUUCUCGAAAACACAUUUUGUUAAAUUUAUACUAAAUCUUAAUUUCAAAAUAGAACACAUCUUUCUGUCAACACACCAACUUUACCAAAACACUGGAAAUCUGACUCAAAAUUAAAUUAUUCUGUCAAAGAAUAACUUGUUUUCACCUCAAAAGGUACAUGCAGUCAAUCAAAGUACACCAGGUUUCAAAAUACUGGCUAUUGUUGACAUUACAAAAACUGCAUAGACUUUUCAGUCUCAGUUUUACAGGUAUUUGCAUGCAAAACAUGCAAUUCACUGUUUUACACUAAAUUUCUUGGUUAGGAACUGUAUGUCCAAAUGUACAGUAAUGUUUACAUUCAAAAGCAUUCCAGUAAAAAGCUAUUUUUUUCCUUUACUGUUUACUGCAGGAGGUACAGUAGAAACGCGGUAUGAUAGAACAGAAAAGCUUUGAGAGUAUUGCUUACAGUGAACAGAAUAUCCAUCUCACUGCUCCUGCUCUUCUCCCUGGCCCCCUUGCUCUUACUCUUCCUCGUCCAUACAUUACAGUGUUUGUCUUUUUCUGUUUCCAAAAAUAUUACUCUUCAAAGUCCUCCUUUUACUGUAUUGUAUAAGUGUCAAUGUAAUAGAAAAAAAAAUAACCCCUGCGAUUGAGUCUAAGCCAGAUUGGAAUCAGCUGUGGUUGGCCCAAUUUACACAACAUAAAUCAGCUAAGAUAAAUUGUUUUUGAACUGAUUUAAUUGCAGAAGCAGAGGUUUUUAUACUGUAUCUAAGGUUUGGAACAUUGUUUUUGCUAUUGUGGGAUGUUGUGUGUUAACAUUUGUAAAUACUACAAAAACGAUCCAUAAUUUUGUUGGGAGGUAUAGCUUGUCUGUUCAGAAAAUGUAAGCAUUGUGGAAAUGUGUUCAAUGACUCCAUAUUGUGUAAAAACGACAUGAAAUGAGUGAAUGGUAUGGCCACAAUAGACAGAUGCUUUGCUAAUUGUGUUUAGAGUUUUGAAAAUAUGACAGCUGCUUGGACAAAUGCUUGUUAGCGACUGAAAACAACUGUAAUAGAAAAUAAGAUGUCUGUUCAAGAGAUCUAGGUUGCUCAUUUAGACAGUUGUGAGCUCUUGUUUACAGCAGACCUGCACAUUUUGAAUAUUCAUAUUUGUAAUCCUCUUAAAAGCUUUAUGAUGUGGUGUUAUUUCAGAAAAUUAAGUACACGUUGGGUACAUUUUUUUUACAAACCAGUGCACUUACUGGUUUGAAAAUCUUAAGAAUGAUUCAAGAAAUUAUAUAUCUAUGUAUCGCUCUCUCUCUCUCUCUCUCUCUCUCUCUAUAUAUAUAUAGAGAGAGAGAGAGAGAGAGAGAGAGAGAGAGAGAGCAGUUAUAGUCAUACAAAAGAACAAAAGUGUUUAAAAGAAUCAUGAAUUAAGCUGGCACGUUUAAAUGUUUGUUUACAGAUUUAUUAGUUCUUACUUUGAUUUUCAACUAUAGCCCUAUAGCCCUAGCCCUAGCCCUAGCUGAGAUCUGCUUCUGCUGCUCAUACUGUGAUCAGCCGCCCUUCCCCCACAGCACUCUCUGAUCGCGCGCGCGCCCUUCCCCCACAGCACUGUCUCUGACUGACUCGCUGCAGAUGAGAUGAAUGAAUGAACUAACAAAAGUCUUGUGAGCUCUAGUUUACAGCAGACCUGCACGUUUUGAAUAUUCUUAUUUGUAAUUCUCUUAAAAACUUUAUGAUGUGGUGUUAUUUUAUAAAAAUAAGUGCACACCGGGUACUUUUUGCUCUUUUAAACCAGUGCUUGUACGGACAUGCGCACUGGUUCCUAGUUUGAGGUGGGUGCUCGGUUAAAAAGUGAUCAUGUGCUCUGUCCACUAGAAAGACUAACUUCAUCACAUUUUUUUUUUAAGUUUGAAGAAACAGUACUGUGGUCAAAACAAAUAUCAUUGCCACCAGAUAAUUUUCUAUUAGGCCAAAUAAAUGUAGUCACAAUUUCAACGUGAAAUCCAAAUACGUAACUACGUCAUUUACGCAAGUCAGCGACGGUGGUGUUUUCCCGGGAAAUGCAGACACGUGACGAUGGAACGCGCGAAACAGACGACAAACAACCCACCAGGAGGAAAGAAAAACACAACACCGGUUUGGAUAUGAGGUCAUUUCAAGAAAGAAAGUCGCCAUGCUGGGAAAUAAAAGACGUAGGAAACCUCUGCAGGAUGCUUAGCAUCACAUUACCUGUAAAACUGACAAGCCUGGGCUUCGAGAGCAGUUCAUCAGCAAAUAUAAAGG
Molecule: long non-coding RNA, 2786 nt
Organism: Carassius gibelio (silver crucian carp)
Lineage: Eukaryota; Metazoa; Chordata; Actinopteri; Cypriniformes; Cyprinidae
Exons: 3
Source: RefSeq, a predicted model, not a curated record